This 393-nucleotide ribosomal RNA is filed under the name uncultured bacterium. RNAcentral describes it as "partial 16S ribosomal RNA". It matches the Rfam family "Bacterial small subunit ribosomal RNA", at positions 523 to 918 of the family's 1533-position model. The record is from RNAcentral.
AUACGGAGGAUCCGAGCGUUAUCCGGAUUUAUUGGGUUUAAAGGGUGCGCAGGCGGCCAUUUAAGUCAGCGGUUAAAUCGUGGGGCUCAACCCCAUUCUGCCGUUGAUACUGGGUGGCUUGAUUGCGGUCGAGGUUGGCGGAAUUCGUUGUGUAGCGGUGAAAUGCAUAGAUAUGACGAAGAACACCGAUUGCGUAGGCAGCUGACCAGACCGCAAAUGACGCUCAUGCACGAAGGUGCGGGUAUCAAACAGGAUUAGAUACCCUGGUAGUCCGCACAGUAAACGAUGGACACCCGCGGUUUGGCCUGUAUGGCUGAGCCGCCAAGCGAAAGCGUUAAGUGUCCCACCUGGGGAGUACGCCGGCAACGGUGAAACUUAAAGGAAUUGGCGGGG